This 688-nucleotide ribosomal RNA is filed under the name Bacteroidetes bacterium swG02s. Its description in RNAcentral is "bacterial SSU rRNA". It matches the Rfam family "Bacterial small subunit ribosomal RNA", at positions 71 to 756 of the family's 1533-position model. The record is from RNAcentral. Lineage: Bacteria; Pseudomonadati; Bacteroidota.
CAUUAGUGCUUGCACUAGAUGACGACCGGCGCACGGGUGCGUAACGCGUAUAGAAUCUGCCUUUUACAGGGGGAUAGCCUUUAGAAAUGAAGAUUAAUAUCCCAUAGUAUUGCGAAGUGGCAUCACUUUGUAAUUAAAGAUUUAUCGGUAAAAGAUGACUAUGCGUCCUAUUAGUUAGUUGGUAAGGUAACGGCUUACCAAGACUUCGAUAGGUAGGGGUCCUGAGAGGGAGAUCCCCCACACUGGUACUGAGACACGGACCAGACUCCUACGGGAGGCAGCAGUGAGGAAUAUUGGGCAAUGGAGGUAACUCUGACCCAGCCAUGCCGCGUGCAGGAAGACUGCCCUAUGGGUUGUAAACUGCUUUUAUACAGGAAGAAACACUGCUACGUGUAGCAGCUUGACGGUACUGUAAGAAUAAGGACCGGCUAACUCCGUGCCAGCAGCCGCGGUAAUACGGAGGGUCCGAGCGUUAUCCGGAAUCAUUGGGUUUAAAGGGUCCGCAGGCGGUCAAUUAAGUCAGAGGUGAAAUCCCAUAGCUUAACUAUGGAACUGCCUUUGAUACUGGUUGACUUGAGUCAUAUGGAAGUAGAUAGAAUGUGUAGUGUAGCGGUGAAAUGCAUAGAUAUUACACAGAAUACCGAUUGCGAAGGCAGUCUACUACGUAUGUACUGACGCUCAUGGACGA